Molecule: ribosomal RNA, 500 nt
Filed under: uncultured bacterium
Lineage: Bacteria
Description: partial 16S ribosomal RNA
Rfam family: Bacterial small subunit ribosomal RNA
Source: RNAcentral
AUUGAACGCUGGCGGAAUGCUUUACACAUGCAAGUCGAACGGCAGCACGGGGGCAACCCUGGUGGCGAGUAGCGAACGGGUGAGUAAUACAUCGGAACGUGCCCAGUCGUGGGGGAUAACGUAGCGAAAGUUACGCUAAUACCGCAUACGAUCUACGGAUGAGAGCGGGGGACCGUAAGGCCUCGCGCGAUUGGAGCGGCCGAUGUCAGAUUAGGUAGCUGGUGAGGUAAAGGCUCACCAAGCCGACGAUCUGUAGCUGGUCUGAGAGGACGACCAGCCACACUGGGACUGAGACACGGCCCAGACUCCUACGGGAGGCAGCAGUGGGGAAUUUUGGACAAUGGGCGCAAGCCUGAUCCAGCCAUUCCGCGUGCAGGACGAAGGCCUUCGGGUUGUAAACUGCUUUUGUACGGAACGAGAAGGCUCUGGUUAAUACCUGGGGCUCAUGACGGUACCGUAAGAAUAAGCACCGGCUAACUACGUGCCAGCCGCCGCCGUAA